CAGCCACUAGUGAACCUGCCGAGGAGGCGGAGCAGCAUCAGUACGACGAUGAUGAGGAGUACUCGCCGAAGUCAAAUAAUAAAGGAGACAUACCAAAGCGGAAACAAAGACGAUAUCGAACUACAUUCUCAAACGUCCAGUUAGAGCAGUUAGAGGCUGCCUUCCACAAAACACACUAUCCCGACGUUUUCUUCAGAGAAGAACUUGCCAUGAGGAUCGAUUUGACAGA
Molecule: long non-coding RNA, 229 nt
Organism: Ostrinia furnacalis (Asian corn borer)
Lineage: Eukaryota; Metazoa; Arthropoda; Insecta; Lepidoptera; Crambidae
Exons: 3
Source: RefSeq, a predicted model, not a curated record